Molecule: long non-coding RNA, 825 nt
Filed under: Cyanistes caeruleus (blue tit)
Lineage: Eukaryota; Metazoa; Chordata; Aves; Passeriformes; Paridae
Description: lncRNA (ENSCCEG00000023043.1)
Source: RNAcentral
AUCCAACGCCAAACUCAGUUAGUUCAAGGCAAAAUCCUCACUUUAAAGGAAAUUUGGGGGAAAUGUCUCCAUUCCUGGCCCCACGGAGCCGCCGCAGAAUGGAAGGAAUUAUUUCAUAAUUCUCAUUUUCCUGCGUUUUUCCCCCUUUCCUCCUCCUCUUCCCAGAGGAACGCGAGCGGAAGAUCACCAAACUUGCUGCUGAAAUCCGAAGAUUCACGGCGCUGCUGGCCGAGCGCGACUCCGGGCUCCGGAAGCUCCAAGCAGAGCUCGCCAAGUGCGACGCCACCAUCCGUGAGUUCCACUGGCACCGGGGGAGCGCUGGGAUCCUCGGAAUUUUGGGGCAAAAUCCCCCAGUUCCAGAAAUCCCCCAGUUCCAGAGAUUUUGGGGGGAAAUCCCUCAAUUCCACAGAUUUUUUGGGGGAAAUUCCUCAGUCCCACAGAUUUUGGGGGGGAAAUCCCUCAAUUCCAGAGAAUUCUGGGCAAAAUCCCUCAGUCCCGCAGAUUUUGGGGAGAAAUCCCUCAAUUCCACUGAAUUUUGGGCGAAAAUCCUUCAAUUCCACUGAAUUUGGGGGGAAAUCCCUCAAUUCCACAGAUUUUGGGGGGAAAUCCCUCAAAUCCAGAGAUUUUGGGGGGAAAUCCCUCAGUUCCAGAGAAUUUGGGGGGAAAUCCCUCAAAUCCACAGAUUUUUGGGGGAAAUCCACCAGGAUUGAGGGCUGGGGGGGGCUGAGCCUGAAUUUGGGGGGAAAAAAGGGAAAAGGAAGAGGAGGAAAGGCCCUGGGGAGAGCCAGGAGCCCCAAUUUGGGGGGAAUUAACGGAAUUUGGUGA